RNAcentral lists this small RNA (162 nucleotides) under Arabidopsis thaliana (thale cress). RNAcentral describes it as "ATSL114780". The record is from RNAcentral. Lineage: Eukaryota; Viridiplantae; Streptophyta; Magnoliopsida; Brassicales; Brassicaceae.
AUUAUAUAUAUUAGGGAUAUUGUUACAAAUCGAAAGUUGAGUAGGGUCUUAAGUGGUAUAUAUAAGAUAUAAGACUCUCUAUUCAUUGCCAAUUAGUUUUGAGUUGGAAGUCCACAGUUUAAUACAAUAAACUUAAACGUUACACAAAUUAGAGGAUUUCAC